Molecule: small RNA, 271 nt
Filed under: Rattus norvegicus (Norway rat)
Lineage: Eukaryota; Metazoa; Chordata; Mammalia; Rodentia; Muridae
Description: uncharacterized LOC103691864
Source: RNAcentral
CCCCCGAGAAGGUCCCUGGAGUCCCCAGCUUUGGACCACUCAUGCUCGAUCCAGGCGUGUUCCUGAGUGAAUUAAUCCUCUUAUGACUAAAAGGUAACGUGGAAGGACGUCCUUUUGAUGUGGAAAAGCACCAUUUGUGACUCACAUUCAGACUGAUUAAGGAAUAAUUGUUGUUAAACGCUUUGCAAGAGGAAAGUGUUUAAUUGAGGGGCAUUCGUAAUUUUACGGCUUAGUGCAAAAUUAAGCGUAAUUAAAAACUCAGAAAUUCCAA